GUUCUCUGUUUCCUUUUUUCUUUUCCAUCCCAGAGCCGUGGGCUCUCUCUCUCUCUCUCUCUCUCUCUCUCUCUCUCUCUCUCUCUAAAUCAAACACACCCACACACAACCAAAUCAUCUUGCACCUUCUUUUGCUUGGGCAUUUUGUAUCUACAUCAAGAUCUUGGAGGAAUCUAGGGAUUUCAAGUUUGUGGGCUUUCCUCCAUCACCAUCUCACUCAUCUCUCUUGUGUGCUACCAAUUGAGGUUCGAAAGGCAAGGAUGCGCUUUGAUGGACAAGGUGAUGGAGAUAUCUUUUGUGCUUUGGCGAGUCGAUCUGCAUGAUAUUUUGUUGGGUCUUAAAAGCUAUCUUUUGACUAUAUGUAUAUGUUUUUGACUUUGAGAAUGUAAUGAUAAAUGUUAAACUCUCCUCUAGAAAUGCUUUGUUAUGUCUUUUAGGCAAGGAAGAAGGAAAACUUGUACCUCCUUUUGUAAUUGGAGUUGUAUGGUUUAAGUGGUGUUUUGGGUGCCAUAGUGGCUAAUCAAAAAAAAUUGAAAUGUUUGGAA
This is a long non-coding RNA of Rhododendron vialii, 545 nucleotides long. RefSeq lists it as uncharacterized. The transcript is spliced from 2 exons. NCBI's taxonomy places the organism in Eukaryota, Viridiplantae, Streptophyta, Magnoliopsida, Ericales, Ericaceae. The record is from RefSeq and is a predicted model, not a curated record.